Molecule: ribosomal RNA, 490 nt
Filed under: uncultured bacterium
Lineage: Bacteria
Description: bacterial SSU rRNA
Rfam family: Bacterial small subunit ribosomal RNA
Source: RNAcentral
GAGGACACGCUGGCGGCGUGCUUAACACAUGCAAGUCGAACGGAGAUUAUUAAUGAAGCUUGCGAUUUAAUAAUCUUAGUGGCGGACGGGUGAGUAACGCGUGGGCAACCUACCCAUAAGAGGGGGAUAACAGUUGGAAACGACUGCUAAUACCGCAUAAGCUAUAGAGGUCGCAUGACCUUAAUAGUAAAGGUGGCACUGUUUACAGGCUAUCACUUAUGGAUGGGCCCGCGUCUGAUUAGCUAGUUGGUGGGGUAGAGGCCUACCAAGGCAACGAUCAGUAGCCGGCCUGAGAGGGUGGACGGCCACACUGGGACUGAGACACGGCCCAGACUCCUACGGGGGGCAGCAGUGGGGAAUCUUGCACAAUGGGCGAAAGCCUGAUGCAGCGACGCCGCGUGAGCGAAGAAGGCCUUCGGGUUGUAAAGCUCUGUCUGGAGGGACGAAGAAAGUGACGGUACCUCCGGAGGAAGCCACGGCUAACUACGUG